Molecule: long non-coding RNA, 1588 nt
Organism: Manacus vitellinus (golden-collared manakin)
Lineage: Eukaryota; Metazoa; Chordata; Aves; Passeriformes; Pipridae
Source: Ensembl
AGAAAUGUACUCGAAAGGGUUGCAGUCCCUGGAUAGACAAUUCCAUUCAUGACAGAGGAAUUGAACUGGAUGAACUUUAAGGUCCCUUCCAAGCCAGACCAUCUGUGAUCCCCUGCUCUGCCUUGCAGGUGUUUUUGGGAGCCCCCCUGCCCGUGCUCACAGCCAGUCCCUGCCCUGUGUGGCCAAUGGAGAUGACCAGGGGGUCAGGGAGGAGACUGAGCCAUCCCCAGGGAUCCCUGGGAGAAGCUUCCAGCAGAACAGUGCUUCCCAUGUCCAUGCUGACAAGGACAGAGAGAUAAAAGUGACCAUGUCAAAAUCUGCCCAGGAUAAGCUGAGGAGGAAGAGAAAAGAAGAAAAAGAACUCAAUCACAAAGAGCAUCAGGAAGGCAAAGACCUGGAAGGGAAGGAAGAGAUCCCUUGGGAAGGGCUUAGACUGAGUAUGAGUGAACCAGAGAGACUGACAGCAGAAAGGUUUAAUCUCUGUGGGGAUAUUUUAACAUCGCCAAGAAACGGAUCUUUGUCCUUAGAAAAUGUGGCCUUGAAUCCUUCUCUGAGAAGAACAUCCAGUUUGAAGAGGUCAAAGUGUUCACCCUUGCUGGAUUCUGGUAAGCUGGGACAGUAAAAUUUGGGUAUGUGGAGUGGGAGAGCACCAAAAUGCAAUUUAUUUGUGCAAGGGACAGUCCUGAGGUGCUCUGGAGCACCAAUACUGUGGUGGUGGAGGGGAUUUAAUUCAUCAUUGGGGAGUCAAUUAAUCAUUUUUCACCUAUAAUCUGUUAGGAAGGUGUUUUAAACAUCAGAGGGUUUUUAUUUGUUCAGCAACUUGAAUAAUGUAAUAUAUUAAUGACAAAUGGAGUCCCUUCUGUCCCCAGAAAAAUCAUUUCUUGGUCUGUUUGGGCACUGAGUUGCUUUUAAAAUGUGCAGUAGAAAGACUCUGAGAAUAGAAGCUCCUACUGAUCGUGGUCCAGGAUUUCUCAAGAGGCUCUUAAAGGCUGUGUUUUAGCACACUGUGCCUCAUUUUUUACAUUAAACAACCCACUGCAUUUGUGUUUGUGACUCUUUAUAGCGGUGGUUGUGUGCAAAAAAAGUAAUCUCUAUGAAUGAAACCAAGUCACUGAGGAUAUCCCACCCCUGGAAGUGCUCGAGGCCAGGCUGGUGGAAGGUGUGCCAGGGGUGACCCUGGAUGGGCUUUAAGCCCUUUCCCACCCAAACCAUUCCACGAUUCUGUGUCUCUUGGAAAACCCGCUCCCUGUAGCAGCCCUCUCUACCUCAGGCUUCUCACAGCUGCUGGUUUUGCCCCCUGGAGCCCCGGGGGUGCUGUCACUGCCUGUGGAUGUUGUGCCCGCAGAGGAGGCGGCGCCGGGCGCGCGGGGCCGGCCCAAGGAGCAGGUGACGCACAGCCCCGAGGUGCUGGACCCCUCGGAGCUGCAGCCCUUCCCCAGGCCCGACACGGCCCUGGCAGAGGCCCUGGCACUGCUGGCUGACGACGACUGGUGGGUGCACACCGAGCCCGGGGGGUCUGCGAGCUGCUGGGGGGGGGAACUCGCUCCCAAACCCAGCCAGAGGGGGAUGUCACACACAGCGAGGGGGG